This 574-nucleotide ribosomal RNA is filed under the name uncultured Cupriavidus sp. RNAcentral describes it as "bacterial SSU rRNA". It matches the Rfam family "Bacterial small subunit ribosomal RNA", at positions 790 to 1368 of the family's 1533-position model. Lineage: Bacteria; Pseudomonadati; Pseudomonadota; Betaproteobacteria; Burkholderiales; Burkholderiaceae. The record is from RNAcentral.
GUAGUCCACGCCCUAAACGAUGUCAACUAGUUGUUGGGGAUUCAUUUCUUCAGUAACGUAGCUAACGCGUGAAGUUGACCGCCUGGGGAGUACGGUCGCAAGAUUAAAACUCAAAGGAAUUGACGGGGACCCGCACAAGCGGUGGAUGAUGUGGAUUAAUUCGAUGCAACGCGAAAAACCUUACCUACCCUUGACAUGCCACUAACGAAGCAGAGAUGCAUUAGGUGCCCGAAAGGGAAAGUGGACACAGGUGCUGCAUGGCUGUCGUCAGCUCGUGUCGUAAGAUGUUGGGUUAAGUCCCGCAACGAGCGCAACCCUUGUCUUUAGUUGCUACGCAAGAGCACUCUAGAGAGACUGCCGGUGACAAACCGGAGGAAGGUGGGGAUGACGUCAAGUCCUCAUGGCCCUUAUGGGUAGGGCUUCACACGUCAUACAAUGGUGCGUACAGAGGGUUGCCAACCCGCGAGGGGGAGCUAAUCCCAGAAAACGCAUCGUAGUCCGGAUCGUAGUCUGCAACUCGACUACGUGAAGCUGGAAUCGCUAGUAAUCGCGGAUCAGCAUGCCGCGGUGAAUA